Molecule: transfer RNA, 65 nt
Filed under: Platynereis cf. australis PA-2020
Lineage: Eukaryota; Metazoa; Annelida; Polychaeta; Phyllodocida; Nereididae
Description: tRNA-Ile
Source: RNAcentral
GGUGUUGCGCCGGACGAACGGACAACUUUGAUGUCGUUGAACACGAGGUCAUACCUCCAACACCU